RNAcentral lists this ribosomal RNA (1372 nucleotides) under uncultured bacterium. RNAcentral's name for it is "bacterial SSU rRNA". It matches the Rfam family "Bacterial small subunit ribosomal RNA", at positions 28 to 1381 of the family's 1533-position model. The record is from RNAcentral.
GAUGAACGCUGGCGGCGUGCCUAAUACAUGCAAGUCGAGCGAACGGACGAGAAGCUUGCUUCUCUGAUGUUAGCGGCGGACGGGUGAGUAACACGUGGAUAACCUACCUAUAAGACUGGGAUAACUUCGGGAAACCGGAGCUAAUACCGGAUAAUAUUUUGAACCGCAUGGUUCAAAAGUGAAAGACGGUCUUGCUGUCACUUAUAGAUGGAUCCGCGCUGCAUUAGCUAGUUGGUAAGGUAACGGCUUACCAAGGCAACGAUGCAUAGCCGACCUGAGAGGGUGAUCGGCCACACUGGAACUGAGACACGGUCCAGACUCCUACGGGAGGCAGCAGUAGGGAAUCUUCCGCAAUGGGCGAAAGCCUGACGGAGCAACGCCGCGUGAGUGAUGAAGGUCUUCGGAUCGUAAAACUCUGUUAUUAGGGAAGAACAUAUGUGUAAGUAACUGUGCACAUCUUGACGGUACCUAAUCAGAAAGCCACGGCUAACUACGUGCCAGCAGCCGCGGUAAUACGUAGGUGGCAAGCGUUAUCCGGAAUUAUUGGGCGUAAAGCGCGCGUAGGCGGUUUUUUAAGUCUGAUGUGAAAGCCCACGGCUCAACCGUGGAGGGUCAUUGGAAACUGGAAAACUUGAGUGCAGAAGAGGAAAGUGGAAUUCCAUGUGUAGCGGUGAAAUGCGCAGAGAUAUGGAGGAACACCAGUGGCGAAGGCGACUUUCUGGUCUGUAACUGACGCUGAUGUGCGAAAGCGUGGGGAUCAAACAGGAUUAGAUACCCUGGUAGUCCACGCCGUAAACGAUGAGUGCUAAGUGUUAGGGGGUUUCCGCCCCCUAGUGCUGCAGCUAACGCAUUAAGCACUCCGCCUGGGGAGUACGACCGCAAGGUUGAAACUCAAAGGAAUUGACGGGGACCCGCACGAGCGGUGGAGCAUGUGGUUUAAUUCGAAGCAACGCGAAGAACCUUACCAAAUCUUGACAUCCUUUGACAACUCUAGAGAUAGAGCCUUCCCCUUCGGGGGACAAAGUGACAGGUGGUGCAUGGUUGUCGUCAGCUCGUGUCGUGAGAUGUUGGGUUAAGUCCCGCAACGAGCGCAACCCUUAAGCUUAGUUGCCAUCAUUAAGUUGGGCACUCUAAGUUGACUGCCGGUGACAAACCGGAGGAAGGUGGGGAUGACGUCAAAUCAUCAUGCCCCUUAUGAUUUGGGCUACACACGUGCUACAAUGGACAAUACAAAGGGCAGCGAAACCGCGAGGUCAAGCAAAUCCCAUAAAGUUGUUCUCAGUUCGGAUUGUAGUCUGCAACUCGACUACAUGAAGCUGGAAUCGCUAGUAAUCGUAGAUCAGCAUGCUACGGUGAAUACGUUCCCGGGUCU